Pelobates cultripes (western spadefoot toad) is the source of this 496-nucleotide non-coding RNA. The record is from the annotation of a GenBank genome assembly. Lineage: Eukaryota; Metazoa; Chordata; Amphibia; Anura; Pelobatidae.
GCUGCGCGGGAGGGAGCAGGAGGAGCAGAGCGGGAGUGAGCAGAAGGCAGUGAGGAUGGGGGUCCUCACUCCCAUCAGCCUCAGGCACCACACAGUACCCCAGGGAAGCCAUCCUCCUGCAAAAGAUCGGAAAGUGGAGGGUGGGUUUAAAAAUGUUUUUACAUGUCUCAGUAUGUCUGCGUGUGUGUGUCUCUCAGUAUGUCUGCGUGUGUGUGUGUGUGUGUCUCAGUAUGUCUGCGUGUGUGUGUGUGUCUCAGUAUGUCUGCGUCUGCGUGUGUGUGUCAGUGUAAGUGCCUGUGUAUUUGCAUAUGUGUCAGUGUGUAUGAGAACCAAAAUUAUAUAUAAACACACAUUCAAAAAAAAAAAACCAAGAAAAAAAAAACACUACACAUAAAUGCACGCUUGCAUCCAAACUCUAACACAUUCAGACAAACAUACUUCAUGCAAAAACAUGCUUACACUCAAACAGUGCAAAAUACAACCCUGCAAGCAUGGG